This 2280-nucleotide long non-coding RNA is filed under the name Triticum aestivum (bread wheat). RNAcentral's name for it is "long non-coding RNA (TAES_LNC013158)". Lineage: Eukaryota; Viridiplantae; Streptophyta; Magnoliopsida; Poales; Poaceae. The record is from RNAcentral.
CUCGAUGGAGGUAAUACCCUACUUCCUGCUUGAUUGCUCUUGAUGAUAUGAGUAUUACAAGAGUUGAUCUACCACGAGAUCGAAGAGGCUAAACCCUAGAAGCUAGCCUAUGAUUAUGAUUGUUGUUGUCCUACGGACUAAACCCUCCGGUUUAUAUAGACACCAGAGAGGGCUAGGGUUACACAGAGUCGGUUACAAGGGAGGAUAUCUACAUAUCCGUAUUGCCAAGCUUGCCUUCCACGCAAAGGAGAGUCCCCAUCCGGACACGGGACGAAGUCUUGAGUCUUGUAUCUCCAUAGUCCAACAGUCCGGCUAAAGUAUAUAGUCCAGCUGUCCGAGGACCCCCUAAUCCAGGACUCCCUCAACGGGUCACACCAUGCCGGGUCACAAUUACAAAUUUUAAUUAUUACUUAGCAAUUUUAGGCAAUAUUGUAGAAUAUAAAAGUGAACCUAACAACUACAAAGAUGAUUCUAGUGCUAAGCAACUACAACAAGAGUAAGGUAAGCAUGCACAAUAAGAUGAAAGUAAAGGUAAAGACUAUCCGAGGACCCCCUAAUCCAGGACUCCCUCAACGGGUCACACCAUGCCCGGUCACAAUUACAAAUUUUAAUUAUUACUUAGCAAUUUUAGGCAAUAUUGUAGAAUAUAAAAGUGAACCUAACAACUACAAAGAUGAUUCUAGUGCUAAGCAACUACAACAAGAGUAAGGUAAGCAUGCACAAUAAGAUGAAAGUAAAGGUAAAGACACAAGUAACCACAAGUAGCAAGCUAUGGUUAGGGAUAACCACAACUCUGAGAGACGAGGAUGUAUGUUGAUGUUCACUUACUUGAAGGGAAGCUAGUCACUGUUAGAGAGGUGGAUGUUACCAUGAAGGCACACGAAUGCCACGAAGGCUCACCCCCAUUCUCCCUUUGAGACAACACCAUGAACGCGUUUCUCAACCACUAGUGGUAGACCUUGAGGUGGUCUUCAAACCUUCACAAACUUUCUGGGGGGUAAUCACAAUGCUUGAUUCCUCACCGAAGAACUCCUACUGCCUAGGAGUCUCCAACCUACAAGAGUAAUAAGAUCAAGGGGAAACGCUCAAGACUUGCUCAAAUCACAAAUUCCUUUGGUCAAGAGGAGGGGAAGAAGUGGAUCUAUCACUUGAUUGGAAAAGCUAUGAAGAUCUCUCACAAAUUCCUCCGGGAUCAAAGAUUUGGUGUAUGAGGAUGUGAGAAAGUGUAGAGUGUGUUCUUGCGUUAUCUCAAAGUGAAUUGUCAACCUUCUCCCCAAGUGGAAGAAAGCUAUUUAUAGUCGAAGUACUAAAAUGGCCGUUGGGGUUACUUAACCUAAGAUCUUACCAGACGUCCAGAGGCAAAAAAAGCAUCGGACUUCUGACAGAGCUACCGGCUGUCCGACUGCCAGAACGUGCACACACAAGGGUGAAGUGUAAAGCUUCCACAGAUGGGGUAUUGCCAGACGUCUGGUACUUUCCGGUUGUCCGGUAUCUCGAGAGGCACCGGACGUCUGAUGGUUACCGAAAAUCCGACAAUAAGGUUAUGUUGGGAGACAAUCAGAUUUCCGUACGGAGACAGUCGCCUGUUGGAAGGAGGGACGGAACGUCUGGUUGGGACCGAGCGUCCGACAUUUUGACUUUGCAGGGAUAGACCGGAUGUCCGGCCUAGACCGGAAAUCCAUCAAUUUGUUCUGUGAUGAGACACCAGAUUUCCGGGGGGUACCGGACGUCUAGACGUCCGGUAACUACAAGUCAUCCGUUUGGACCAAAGACAAAGCAGAACGAACCCUAGGAGACAGUAUGAUGGGGAGUUUGGGGUAGUAUUAUGUGUGAAGAAUGAGAUAUCUGUGGGUUUUGGAGCAAGUCAAUCACGAGUACCGAUGAUCCCCUCUUAAUAGUGCAAGAUCCCUAUACCCAAGAGCCAAUGGAAAAGCCUAAGCUCUUUGUCUUGUAUCUUUGUUCUUGAGAAAUAUACACUUGGUAGUCAUGAUCCACACAUCAUUCCUUGGGGACUAAACCUGAGAUAUACUUGACAAACAUGAUUGGUCCCCUAUAUGUAUGUUGUCAUCAACAUCAAAAUAUGAUUAAGAUCAUGAUUUCACUUUUAGCCCCAAACUAUUAUGAGUGCCACGGGUUGAGCGGUGGAUGCUAGGGGCUAUGUGAGAAGAGUGUAUCGACACGCGCGCGUGCGCGCGCGCACACACACACACACCACUCACGCAUGCACACGUGCACACGUACAAAGUAGUAUUAGACCUUAUGAAGUUGAAUACUUUUGCU